CCUUCCCGUCGCCCGCCCCAUUUGAUAUAUGGGCCUGAAAUGUAUGCCAUCCCAUCACCAUCGGACUGGACUGUUCACAGCACUGGAGAGACAGAGGUCCUUCAUUCACUCCAGGUCACAGGCUGUGCGUGUGCAUGCCGAACACCCACAUGCACACAGUUGGUGGCUCAGUCUGAUGUACCUGACUUCUCACGCCUUCCCCCAGUCCUCCAGUACCGUGCCUCUACAUGGGCUGGGCAGCCCCAAACUGAAAUGUGAGUGCCAGAGUGCAUCCUUUAAGCGAGGUCUGCCCCACGGACACCCGCUCCCUCUGUGUCCCUGCUUUGACAGAUCUAUCCAUCUGGCCAUCCAUCCGUGGGGGUCUGCAAUGGCCACCUUUAGCCGCCAGGAAUUUUUCCAGCAGCUACUACAAGGCUGUCUCCUGCCUACUGCCCAGCAGGGCCUUGACCAGAUCUGGCUGCUCCUUGCCAUCUGCCUCGCCUGCCGCCUCCUCUGGAGGCUCGGGUUGCCAUCCUACCUGAAGCAUGCAAGCACCGUGGCAGGCGGGUUCUUCAGCCUCUACCACUUCUUCCAGCUGCACAUGGUUUGGGUCGUGCUGCUCAGCCUCCUGUGCUACCUCGUGCUGUUCCUCUGCCGACAUUCCUCCCAUCGAGGCGUCUUCCUAUCCGUCACCAUCCUCAUCUACUUACUCAUGGGUGAGAUGCACAUGGUAGACACCGUGACAUGGCACAAGAUGCGAGGGGCACAG
Molecule: long non-coding RNA, 748 nt
Filed under: Pan troglodytes (chimpanzee)
Lineage: Eukaryota; Metazoa; Chordata; Mammalia; Primates; Hominidae
Description: long non-coding RNA NONPTRT018262
Source: RNAcentral